Molecule: ribosomal RNA, 403 nt
Filed under: uncultured bacterium
Lineage: Bacteria
Description: partial 16S ribosomal RNA
Rfam family: Bacterial small subunit ribosomal RNA
Source: RNAcentral
AUUGAACGCUGGCGGCAGGCCUAAUACAUGCAAGUCGAGCGAGCGGCGGACGGGAGAGUAAUGUAUGGGGACUGCCCGAUGGAGGGGGAUAACUACUGGAAACGGUGGCUAAUACCGAUUACUAUCGGAUAACCCAUAAUGGAGUAGCUAGUAGGUGGGGUAAAGGCUCACCUAGGCGACGAUCCCUAGCUGGUCUGAGAGGGUGAUAGGCCACACUGGGACUGAGACACGGCCCAGACUCCUACGGAGGCAGCAGUAGGGAAUAUUCCGCAAUGGGCGAAAGCCUGAUGCAGCCAAGCCGCGUGAAUGAAGAAGGCCUUAGGAUUGUAAAACUCUUUCAUCAGGGAAGCGUUACCUACAGAAAAAGCACCGGCUAACUCCGUGCCAGCAGCCGCGGUAAUAC